RNAcentral lists this unclassified non-coding RNA (257 nucleotides) under plant metagenome. RNAcentral describes it as "partial contains small subunit ribosomal RNA and internal transcribed spacer 1". The record is from RNAcentral.
AAGUCGUAACAAGGUUUCCGAUAGGUGAACCGUGCGGAAGAUCCAUUGAUUGAGAUGAGUCGGAAGGCCUAUUAGGUCACCCAAACGCUUGAAAUAUUAGCGGAAUGGGCAGUAAUACAAUCGGCAUGACCGUUUGAAUCCAAGGGCAGCUAUCACCCGUGUAUAUAUACUCUGUUGCUUUCCGGGCGUCAUACCCCCGGAGAGAACCCAACUCUUGAAUUUUUAUGGAACGUCUGAGUACUAUAUAAUAGUUAAAA